GAUGAACGCUGGCGGCGUGCCUAAUACAUGCAAGUCGAGCGAACAGAUAAGGAGCUUGCUCCUUUGACGUUAGCGGCGGACGGGUGAGUAACACGUGGGUAACCUAUCUAUAAGACUGGAAUAACUCCGGGAAACCGGGGCUAAUGCCGGAUAACAUGUUGAACCGCAUGGUUCUACAGUGAAAGGCGGCUUUGCUGUCACUUAUAGAUGGACCCGCGCCGUAUUAGCUAGUUGGUGAGGUAACGGCUCACCAAGGCAACGAUACGUAGCCGACCUGAGAGGGUGAUCGGCCACACUGGAACUGAGACACGGUCCAGACUCCUACGGGAGGCAGCAGUAGGGAAUCUUCCGCAAUGGGCGAAAGCCUGACGGAGCAACGCCGCGUGAGUGAUGAAGGUCUUCGGAUCGUAAAACUCUGUUAUUAGGGAAGAACAAAUGCGUAAGUAACUGUGCGCGCCUUGACGGUACCUAAUCAGAAAGCCACGGCUAACUACGUG
RNAcentral lists this ribosomal RNA (497 nucleotides) under uncultured bacterium. RNAcentral's name for it is "partial 16S ribosomal RNA". It matches the Rfam family "Bacterial small subunit ribosomal RNA", at positions 28 to 507 of the family's 1533-position model. The record is from RNAcentral.